Molecule: transfer RNA, 65 nt
Filed under: Helina latitarsis
Lineage: Eukaryota; Metazoa; Arthropoda; Insecta; Diptera; Muscidae
Description: tRNA-Leu
Source: RNAcentral
ACUAUUUUGGCAGAUUAGUGCAAUAAAUUUAGAAUUUAUAUAUAUAUAUAUAGUUAUAAAUAGUA